CUCUCACAAGCUGUAGUUUUAGCACUGUGAAUUUGAGACUGUGUUCAGGUCCCUCGGCCAACGAUCACAACAAGGAGAGAUUUCCAGCGUUUCAUACGAGGAAGAUGAAGAAGAAGGAGACUUCAUACUUCUUGUGUAAAGGAAUUUCAACGAAGGAGGUUUCGUUUACCAAUUUCAUUAGAAUUAGGUGUUUAAGUACUAAUAACGAUAGUCAUAGCGACAUAGAGAAUAAUAAUGAUAAGAAGGACGCGGCCC
Molecule: unclassified non-coding RNA, 255 nt
Filed under: Hevea brasiliensis (rubber tree)
Lineage: Eukaryota; Viridiplantae; Streptophyta; Magnoliopsida; Malpighiales; Euphorbiaceae
Source: RNAcentral